UGAACGCUGGCGGCGUGCCUAACACAUGCAAGUCGAACGGGACUAUCAAGUGAUGUUUCGGACUGAACUUUUAGUUAGUGGCGGACGGGUGAGUAACGCGUGGACAACCUGCCUCUCACUGGGGGGAUAGCAGCUGGAAACGGCUGGUAAUACCGCAUACGUUCAAUGUGCCGCAUGACACAUUGAAGAAAGAUUUAUCGGUGAGAGAUGGGUCCGCGUCUGAUUAGCCAGUUGGCGGGGUAACGGCCCACCAAAGCGACGAUCAGUAGCCGGCCUGAGAGGGCGGACGGCCACAUUGGGACUGAGACACGGCCCAGACUCCUACGGGAGGCAGCAGUGGGGGAUAUUGCACAAUGGGCGCAAGCCUGAUGCAGCGACGCCGCCGUGAGUGAAGAAGUAUUUCGGUAUGUAAAGCUCUAUCAGCAGGGAAGAAAGGCCCGCAAGGGAGAUGACGGUACCUGACUAAGAAGCCCCGGCUAACUACGUGCCAGCCGCGGC
RNAcentral lists this ribosomal RNA (498 nucleotides) under uncultured bacterium. RNAcentral describes it as "bacterial SSU rRNA". It matches the Rfam family "Bacterial small subunit ribosomal RNA", at positions 30 to 518 of the family's 1533-position model. The record is from RNAcentral.